AUACAGAGGCGCCAAGCGUUAGGCGGAAUCACUGGGCUUAAAGCGCGUGUAGGUGGAUGGGUAAGUACCUUGUGAAAUCCCACGGCUCAACCGUGGAACUGCUUGGUAUACUGCUUGUCUUGAGGCACUCAGGGGCAGCUGGAACAAAUGGUGGAGCGGUGAAAUGCGUAGAUAUCAUUUGGAACGCCAAAGGUGAAAACAGGCUGCUGGGAGUGAUCUGACACUGAGACGCGAAAGCCAGGGGAGCAAACGG
RNAcentral lists this ribosomal RNA (253 nucleotides) under uncultured prokaryote. RNAcentral describes it as "partial 16S ribosomal RNA". It matches the Rfam family "Bacterial small subunit ribosomal RNA", at positions 523 to 775 of the family's 1533-position model. The record is from RNAcentral.